Molecule: ribosomal RNA, 398 nt
Filed under: uncultured bacterium
Lineage: Bacteria
Description: bacterial SSU rRNA
Rfam family: Bacterial small subunit ribosomal RNA
Source: RNAcentral
AUUGAACGCUGGCGGCAUGCCUUACACAUGCAAGUCGAACGGCAGCGCGGGGCAACCUGGCGGCGAGUGGCGAACGGGUGAGUAAUAUAUCGGAACAUACCCUAGAGUGGGGAUAACGUAGCGAAGUUACGCUAAUACCGCAUACGCACUAAGGUGGAAAGUGGGGGAUUCGCAAGAACCUCAUGCUCAUGGAGUGGCCGAUAUCUGAUUAGCUAGUUGGUGAAGUAAAGGCUCACCAAGGCAACGAUCAGUAGCUGGUUUGAGAGAACGACCAGCCACACUGGAACUGAGACACGGUCCAGACUCCUACGGGAGGCAGCAGUGGGGAAUUUUGGACAAUGGGGGCAACCCGUGAUCCAGCAAUGCCGCGUGAGUGAAGAAGGCCUUCGGGUUGUAAG